UACUCAUCCUAGACUUAAGAUGCUAAAUUUUUUUUAACAUUAUAAAGAUGAGACCUACUCAUGAAAAUCACAUAGCAGCACUAAAGCAAUCCAAAAUAAAAAAUAUUAUCCUUUCCAUUAUCGAUGAACUUUCUCUACAAAGAAUAUCAAAUCAUAUCUUCUAUUAUAAAUUUUUUACUCAAAAAAUCAAUAUUGCUGACUAGCACACAAUAAUUUAGAUCAUCAUACUUUCACUAUGCACUUUGAUUUAAAUCAUCAAAAUUUUUCAAAUACAAUAAAUAAAUUUUAAUUAAAAUAUUACUUUAUAUUGGC
This 312-nucleotide long non-coding RNA is filed under the name Elaeis guineensis (African oil palm). RNAcentral's name for it is "long non-coding RNA (EGUI_LNC039911)". Lineage: Eukaryota; Viridiplantae; Streptophyta; Magnoliopsida; Arecales; Arecaceae. The record is from RNAcentral.